GACGAACGCUGGCGGCGUGCCUAAUACAUGCAAGUUGAGCGCUGAAGGUUGGUACUUGUACCAACUGGAUGAGCAGCGAACGGGUGAGUAACGCGUGGGGAAUCUGCCUUUGAGCGGGGGACAACAUUUGGAAACGAAUGCUAAUACCGCAUAAAAACUUUAAACACAAGUUUAAAGUUUGAAAGAUGCAAUGGCACAACUCAAAGAUGAUCCCGCGUGGUAUUAGUUAGUUGGUGAGGUAAAGGCUCACCAAGGCGAUGAUACAUAGCCGACCUGAGAGGGUGAUCGGCCACAUUGGGACUGAGACACGGCCCAAACUCCUACGGGAGGCAGCAGUAGGGAAUCUUCGGCAAUGGACGAAAGUCUGACCGAGCAACGCCGCGUGAGUGAAGAAGGUUUUCGGAUCGUAAAACUCUGUUGGUAGAGAAGAACGUUGGUGAGAGUGGAAAGCUCAUCAAGUGACGGUAACUACCCAGAAAGGGACGGCUAACUACGUG
This 497-nucleotide ribosomal RNA is filed under the name uncultured bacterium. Its description in RNAcentral is "partial 16S ribosomal RNA". It matches the Rfam family "Bacterial small subunit ribosomal RNA", at positions 28 to 507 of the family's 1533-position model. The record is from RNAcentral.